This 790-nucleotide ribosomal RNA is filed under the name uncultured bacterium. RNAcentral describes it as "bacterial SSU rRNA". It matches the Rfam family "Bacterial small subunit ribosomal RNA", at positions 8 to 796 of the family's 1533-position model. The record is from RNAcentral.
AGAGUUUGAUCCUGGCUCAGAAUCAACGCUGGCGGCGUGCCUAACACAUGCAAGUCGAACGCGGUUACCCCGCAAGGGGUAACUGAGUGGCGAACGGGUGAGUAACACGUGGAUAACCUGCCCAGAGGUGGGGGAUAACCCGGGGAAACUCGGGCUAAUACCGCAUAUGACCGAGAGGUCAAAGCGGGCUCGCAAGAGCUCGCGCCAUUGGAGGGGUCCGCGUCCGAUUAGCUAGUUGGUAGGGUAAUGGCCUACCAAGGCGACGAUCGGUAGCCGGCCUGAGAGGGUGAUCGGCCACACUGGAACUGAGACACGGUCCAGACUCCUACGGGAGGCAGCAGUGGGGAAUUUUGCGCAAUGGGCUAACGCCUGACGCAGCAACGCCGCGUGGAGGAUGAAGGUCUUUGGAUUGUAAACUCCUGUCAGCAGGGAAAAAGCGACUCGGCUUAAUACGCCGGGGAGUUGAUUGUACCUGCAGAGGAAGCCCCGGCUAACUCUGUGCCAGCAGCCGCGGUAAUACAGAGGGGGCAAGCGUUAUUCGGAAUUAUUGGGCGUAAAGGGCGCGUAGGCGGUCUGACAAGUGGAAGGUGAAAUCCCUCGGCUUAACCGAGGAACUGCCUUCCAGACUGUUUGACUUGAGACCAGGAGAGGUGAGUGGAAUUCCCAGUGUAGCGGUGAAAUGCGUAGAUAUUGGGAGGAACACCAGUGGCGAAGGCGGCUCACUGGACUGGUACUGACGCUGAGGCGCGAAAGCGUGGGGAGCAAACGGGAUUAGAUACCCUUGUAGUCC